GGGCAGCACGCCCUUUCCUGCUCGGCCCUUCCUCCCUCCCUCCUUCGAGCGCCCACGUCGGCGCUGCGGCGCUUACCUCCACCUGCGCGGGGCCCCGAGAGCCUGGAAGCCGCCACCCGGCACGCGGCCGCCCGCACCCGAAGGCUUGCGCGGCGCAGGACAGUCGGCCACCGAAGAAAGUGGGGGCGGCGGGGGACAGAGAUGUACAGACUGUGAAGAAAAGGCAGGCGUCCUCGUGGAACCAGCCAGGGGAGGCGCCAAGCUGGAUCUGAACCCGCAAGUGCCUCCACAAAGGAGCCUCUGCGGCAGCCGCCCCGCCACCCUCCCCUGCGCACACGCGCGCACACACGCACACUCAUGCACGUUCAAACCCCGCGCGCGCACACAGAUGCGCGCCAGGCCACCUGCCCAACGCACUUGUUUCUCCCUGGAGCAAGAGGCAGCUCCUGGGUGACCUGUCCCAGCCCGCAUGGCCGAGUCCCAGCCUGGCCAAGGCUUCCCAAAGAGGGUACAGUGCUUAGAAAACUGGUUGGUUUUCAGGAUAAAUGCACGUCUGGCUGUGAUAACAUUCACAUUUGGAGGAGAAAAACAGCUUUCAACUAUAGCAUGAAAGCAUGUCCCUUCUCUCCACUACCCACCAGCAAAAACAAGGGCGUGAGUCUCAAAAAGAGGAGUUAAGGUAAAUUGUCAGAUGCCAAUUUCUUCUGCUACCGGUUCUGUUUCCAGGUUGUUGACCUUCUAAGAAGUUAGAAGAGCAAACAGUAAUUUGAAACCAUAAUACACACAGUAUAGGUAUUGCCCAAACAGAAACCCAACUAACCCACAAUAUUGGGAUGGGAUGGGAUGUAUGUGUGUGUGUGUGUGUGUGUGUGUGUGUGUGUGUGUGUGUCCCUGGGGAAAUACUGUGUGCAGGUUCCUGAAGAAGACUUUGUGGGCACAUGCAGGUGGGAGAAAGGCCAUAUUGGUGACUUAGCAAUUUGUCAAGUCCCUCUUCACUCCCCUUAGAAAUUAAGUUUGUACUUAGUUUAGGGGACCAGCUAUGAACAAUCCCUUUUGCACCAAGCUUCCAUCUUAAUAAGAAGGGAAACACUCUGGGUAUGGUAGCAAAUAAUAAAACCAGCUCAUAACAAUUAGCAUCUUCAUAUUUUUUAAGCCAGACUUAUAAAAACAAUGAAAAUGGUCCAUUUUUGGAAAAAGUAAAGAGGGUAAGCUUUGGGGUAGAAAUACCAUUAUUCAAAGUUGGGUUUUUUUUGUUGUCGUUGCUGUUGUUGUUUUUGCUUUUUAGGGCCACCCCCGUGGCAUAUGGAGGUUCUCAGGUGGGGGCUGAAUUGGAGCUGCAGGUGCCGGCCUACACAACAACCACAGCAACUCGGGAUCCGAGCCGAGUCUGUGACCUACACCACAGCUCACGGCAAUCCCGGAUCCCCAGCCCACUGAGUGAGGCCAGGGAUGGAACCUGAGUCCUCAUGGAUACUAGUCGGGUUCAUUAAUCACUGAGCCACAAUGGGAACUCCCAUUAUUCAAGUUUUGAAUGGACUUGGCCAGAAAUAGAUCCCUAUCAAAGUACACAGCAUCACAGUCAGCUCACCUUUGCAUCCAGGCUAAAACUGCAAGGGGGUGCACUGGGGUUAAACCCAGGACUUCUCACCUUUACCCCUAACUUGCUGGCUCCCUCCUGAAAAAUGAGGUUUCUGUAUUUAAUCUAACUUGGAGAGGUGGUAUUCAGCAUUCAGCCAUUUGUAGUUUAAAAUGGAUGAAAAAAUUUCCCUUCACAUUUCUAAGUUCCUUUUAUCUAGUUUUUUUUUUUUGUGCAUAUGAUCAAUUUUGUGUGUUAAACUGGGCCAUAAAAGAGUAGAACUUAACUAUACAAAGUAGUUUAAUAUUGGUGGUGAUUUCUCAGGACUAGGCUAGAGAAAAGAAGACAUGGCUUUUUUUUUUUUUUUGCCAUAUUUUCUUUUCUUUUCUUUCUUUUUUUUGUCUUUUUUAGGGCCAUACCUGCAGCAUAUGGAGGUUCCCAGGCUAGGGGUCCAAUCGGAGCUGUAGUCGCCAGCCUACACCGCAGCCACAGCAACACAGGGAUCCAAGCUGCCUCUGCGACCUACAACGUGGCUCACAGCAACCCCGGAUCCUUAACCCACUGAGCAAGGUCAGGGAUCGAACCUGCAUUCUCAUGGAUACUAGUCGGGUUUGUUAACCGCUGAGCCACAAGAGGAACUCCUAUAACAUUUUCUUAUUUUAAUUUUCUUAUUUGUAAUUUUUCUCUGGUUUUCUAUAAAACUCUGGAGUUCCUGCCUACCACAUCCCUUUGCUGACAGUGCAGAUGAACACACUUCUGAAUUUUUGAGUUUUGAACUGUCACACUUCCUGCGGGAUGACUGAUGGGCUGUGUUGCUCAUCAGUGGUUUACAAUGGGGUGGGGUAGGACAGGCAGGGUAUGCAUGCAGGUAAACAUAUGACUUUUUAAAUUUUAUUUUUAUUUUUUGUCUUUUUUAGGGCCGCACCGAGGCAUAUAGAGGUUCCUGGGCUAGGGGUCUAAUCGGAGCUGUAGCUGCCGGCCUACACCCCAGCCACAGCAACUCGGGAUCCAAGCCGUGUCUACGACCUACACCACAGCUCAUCCAAGGCCGGAUCCUUAAUCCACUGAGCGAGGCCAGGGAUCAAACCCACAACCUCAUGGUUCCUAGUUGGAUUUGCUAAACACUGCGCCAUGACAGGAACUCCAAACAUACGACUUUAAUUUACACUGUAUAAUGGAAUUUCUUUAAUGCUGGAAAUACUUCUAUUCAAAAAGAAAAAAAGAGGAGUUUUUCUCUUCCCAGGAAAAUUGAUCACUAUGGGUUCUUAUUUAUUCCAAGUUGGAGUCACAAAGAAACACCACACUUGCCAUUUUUUUCAAAUAUUUAUGUAUUUAAUUAUCUUGGCCCUGCCUCAGCAUGCAGAAGUUCCAGGGCCAGGGAUAGAACCCUUGCCACAGCAGAGAUCCCAGCCGCUGCUGGAUCCUUAACCCCCUGAGCCACUGGGUAACUCUAUCACACUGGAAAUUUUAAGAGGAAUAUAAAGUAGGAAAGGCAAAAAAAAAAAAAAAAAAUAAAAUU
This 3095-nucleotide long non-coding RNA is filed under the name Sus scrofa (pig). RNAcentral describes it as "lncRNA (ENSSSCG00065064902.1)". Lineage: Eukaryota; Metazoa; Chordata; Mammalia; Artiodactyla; Suidae. The record is from RNAcentral.